Molecule: ribosomal RNA, 539 nt
Filed under: uncultured bacterium
Lineage: Bacteria
Description: bacterial SSU rRNA
Rfam family: Bacterial small subunit ribosomal RNA
Source: RNAcentral
GAGGAAUAUUGGUCAAUGGAUGCAAAUCUGAACCAGCCAAGUAGCGUGCAGGAUGACGGCCCUAUGGGUUGUAAACUGCUUUUAUGUGAGAAUAAAGUUAGGUAUGUAUACUUAUUUGCAUGUAUCACAUGAAUAAGGACCGGCUAAUUCCGUGCCAGCAGCCGCGGUAAUACGGAAGGUCCAGGCGUUAUCCGGAUUUAUUGGGUUUAAAGGGUGCGUAGGCCGUUUGAUAAGCGUGCUGUGAAAUAUAGUGGCCCAACCUCUAUCGUGCAGCGCGAACUGUCGAACUUGAGUGCGUAGUAGGUAGGCGGAAUUCGUGGUGUAGCGGUGAAAUGCUUAGAUAUCACGAAGAACUCCGAUUGCGAAGGCAGCUUACCGUAACGUUACUGACGCUUAAGCACGAAGGUGCGGGUAUCGAACAGGAUUAGAUACCCUGGUAGUCCGCACAGUAAACGAUGGAUGCUCGCUGUUGGCCUUUAUGGUCAGUGGCUUAGCGAAAGCGUUAAGCAUCCCACCUGGGGAGUACGCCGGCAACGGUG